Xenia sp. Carnegie-2017 is the source of this 270-nucleotide long non-coding RNA. RefSeq lists it as uncharacterized. The transcript has 2 exons. The record is from RefSeq and is a predicted model, not a curated record. NCBI's taxonomy places the organism in Eukaryota, Metazoa, Cnidaria, Anthozoa, Malacalcyonacea, Xeniidae.
AGAUCAACGAAAAACAUACGAAGCUAAAACGUCAAAUUACGGAGAAGCAGAAUACAACAAGAAAGAAUAUUCGCCACAAAGCUCAACUCAAAAGAAAAGAUGCGCUACUGGCGAAUUGUUAAAAAAUCCUUGGGAAACAACGGAAAUUCCGCCAUCAGAAAGGGAAUACGAUGACACGUCAGAGACGGUUAGUACUUUUAUAAGUAGCGAGAACGAUGAAGACGACAACGAAUUUAAGCAAACUGGAAAAGACUUCGAUGAAGAAAACGA